UACUCCUACGGGAGGCAGCAGUAGGGAAUCUUCCGCAAUGGACGAAAGUCUGACGGAGCAACGCCGCGUGAGUGAUGAAGGUUUUCGGAUCGUAAAGCUCUGUUGUUAGGGAAGAACAAGUGCGAGAGUAACUGCUCGCACCUUGACGGUACCUAACCAGAAAGCCACGGCUAACUACGUGCCAGCAGCCGCGGUAAUUA
RNAcentral lists this ribosomal RNA (200 nucleotides) under uncultured Bacillus sp. RNAcentral describes it as "partial 16S ribosomal RNA". It matches the Rfam family "Bacterial small subunit ribosomal RNA", at positions 334 to 525 of the family's 1533-position model. The record is from RNAcentral. Lineage: Bacteria; Bacillati; Bacillota; Bacilli; Caryophanales; Bacillaceae.